Molecule: ribosomal RNA, 497 nt
Filed under: uncultured bacterium
Lineage: Bacteria
Description: partial 16S ribosomal RNA
Rfam family: Bacterial small subunit ribosomal RNA
Source: RNAcentral
GAUGAACGCUGGCGGCGUGCCUAAUACAUGCAAGUCGAGCGAACAGACGAGGAGCUUGCUCCUCUGACGUUAGCGGCGGACGGGUGAGUAACACGUGGAUAACCUACCUAUAAGACUGGGAUAACUUCGGGAAACCGGAGCUAAUACCGGAUAAUAUAUUGAACCGCAUGGUUCAAUAGUGAAAGACGGUUUUGCUGUCACAUAUAGAUGGAUCCGCGCCGCAUUAGCUAGUUGGUAAGGUAACGGCUUACCAAGGCAACGAUGCGUAGCUGACCUGAGAGGGUGAUCGGCCACACUGGAACUGAGACACGGUCCAGACUCCUACGGGAGGCAGCAGUAGGGAAUCUUCCGCAAUGGGCGAAAGCCUGACGGAGCAACGCCGCGUGAGUGAUGAAGGUCUUCGGAUCGUAAAGCUCUGUUAUUAGGGAAGAACAAAUGUGUAAGUAACUAUGCACGUCUUGACGGUACCUAAUCAGAAAGCCACGGCUAACUACGUG